Molecule: transfer RNA, 71 nt
Filed under: Stenocercus roseiventris
Lineage: Eukaryota; Metazoa; Chordata; Lepidosauria; Squamata; Tropiduridae
Description: tRNA-Ile
Source: RNAcentral
GGAAAUAUGCCCGAACUACAAGGAUUACUUUGAUAGAGUAAACAAUAGAGACUCAAACCCUCUUAUUUCCU